UUGAACGCUGGCGGCAGGCCUAACACAUGCAAGUCGAGCGCGAAAGGUUUUCGGACUGAGUAAAGCGGCGGACGGGUGAGUAACGCGUGGGAAUCUGCCCAGUAGUGGGGGACAACAGUCGGAAACGACUGCUAAUACCGCAUACGCCCUACGGGGGAAAGGGGGGGAUCUUCGGACCUCUCGCUAUUGGAUGAGCCCGCGUCGGAUUAGCUAGUUGGUAGGGUAAAGGCCUACCAAGGCUACGAUCCGUAACUGGUCUGAGAGGAUGAUCAGUCACACUGGAACUGAGACACGGUCCAGACUCCUACGGGAGGCAGCAGUGGGGAAUAUUGGACAAUGGGGGCAACCCUGAUCCAGCCAUGCCGCGUGUGUGAAGAAGGCCUUAGGGUCGUAAAGCACUUUCAGUGGGGAGAAAGGUUUGUCACCUAAUACGUGAUGAAAUUGAUGUUACCCACAUAAGAAGCACCGGCUAACUCCGUGCCAGCCGCCGCCGUAA
Molecule: ribosomal RNA, 496 nt
Filed under: uncultured bacterium
Lineage: Bacteria
Description: partial 16S ribosomal RNA
Rfam family: Bacterial small subunit ribosomal RNA
Source: RNAcentral